CUCAGGAUGAACGCUAGCGGCAGGCUUAACACGAUGCAAGUCGAGGGGCAUCGGGAGUAGCAAUACUUGCCGGCGACCGGCGCAAGGGUGCGUAACGCGUGAGCAACAUGCCCGUAUCAGGGGGAUAAUCCAUGGAAACGUGGUCUAAUACCCCAUAGUAAUUAUGUAAGGCAUCUUAUAUAAUUUAAAGCUUUGGUGGAUACGGAUUGGCUCGCGUGACAUUAGCUGGAUGGUAAGGUAACGGCUUACCAUGGCUACGAUGUCUAGGGGUUCUGAGAGGAAGGUCCCCCACACUGGAACUGAGACACGGUCCAGACUCCUACGGGAGGCAGCAGUGAGGAAUAUUGGACAAUGGAUGGAAAUCUGAUCCAGCCAUGCCGCGUGCAGGAAGAACCGGCCCUAUGGGUUGUAAACUGCUUUUGUAUGGGAGCAAUAAGGGCUACGUGUAGUCCGAUGAGAGUACCAUACGAAUAAGCACCGGCUAACUCCGUGCCAGCAGCAGC
RNAcentral lists this ribosomal RNA (503 nucleotides) under uncultured bacterium. Its description in RNAcentral is "bacterial SSU rRNA". It matches the Rfam family "Bacterial small subunit ribosomal RNA", at positions 23 to 518 of the family's 1533-position model. The record is from RNAcentral.